CCGGAACUGCAGCUCCGGCGGGUAGUCUCGGACGCACCCGAUCCGGGGCCCCGCGCCCGUGGUCCACCGGAGCGACAGCUGCUGCCCGAGCUGGUCGCAGCAACUUACUGGGCCAAGAUACCUGAUGCAUUGCUGCAGCAGCUUCCAUCUUGGGCAGUGGUUCUCAAGAUUAACCUCCUUUCCUUCACCUAUAUCCAACCUACCACAAACAGACUUUCAGAAACCAUGAGCUUGUAUUUGUCGAUCUCUGUUCACAGAUAAUGUAUAGAGUUCAGCAUGAACUGCACCAGUAGAAGAAAGGUUGUUGGCUGUCACAGCGAAGCCAGCUUUGGUAAUAGUAGUGGAGGUUGUGGCCGUACCGGUGUCGAGGGUCAAUCUGCCCAUGAAACACUAAGGAAUUUAAGUUUGAUGUGUGCAGUUCUAUUGUCGGAUAGCGUUUGAGGAAAGUGUUGGAUAGUGUUUGAGUCAUACUGCUUCUAGCCAGUGCUGAAGUGCGAGUUUCUGAGCCUUUUCAUCCUUCGACAAACCUUUCCCUACCUGAAGAUACAACAAGGAAUGACCAUCCAUAUGAGUUCACUAUUCAGUUAUCAUAUGCCAUUGGUCUUUAAGAAAAACAAGACCGCAAGAUUUAAGGCAUAAUGUGAGACAUUUUUUUUUCGAUAAAGGGAAUAUAUUAAAUAAUAAUGUGAGACAUACCUUGGCAGCUCUUAUUCUAGCACGAGACCAUCUUGAUAGGGCAGUCUCCGGCUUCUCUACCUCGAAGAAUGACACUGAACUGCGCUUGAGCAAUGCGAAAUCUAGCAGUUUCCACCUGCAUUCGGGGUCACACAUAUCAGGCAUCAUUGCACCAGUGACAGAAACAGCGCAUGAAACUGUAACAUACCAACGUUGUUCGACAAGAACAGCGCAAUCAGCAAGCUGCCGUCUUGUCCUGAAGCUCUUGUAUACCUUCUGCACCCUUAGUGCUGCAUCCUGGUGCUGUGGGCUAACCAUAGCGACCACCGGAGAAUUUGGUGGCAGGUAAUCUGUGUUCCCAUAUUUUGGAAUGCCAUAACCGUGCUUAUGGUUAGAACAGUCUCUCUCUGCUUUAGGACUCACCACGGAUAUUGUGGUUUCGACAUGUAAUGGGUGACACUCUUUUCUCCUGGCAUUUAAGGACCCUUUUAACGUAUGCUCCCUAGAGCUCACGGCAUCGAGAUAUUCUGGUGACGAUUCAGGGCUGUCGAGACUGCUGAGAAUGUCCAAGCUGAAGGACCGGACAAAUAGCCUAUCUGAGUCCUCGUCAUCCUCUGGAAGAUCUCUGCAGAAGCGGGUGCUUUAUGAGUGCAUCGCCCCACUAUGUCAAUAAAGGGAAGCAAAAGGACAUCAGAUGUGGGUUAUUUGAAUUAACAGAGCUGUCAUAACAACAUAUUUCUUGAAUUCCUUUCCAUUGUUCUCUAUCCUAUCAAAGCAUACCAAACCUAGAUUUUAUGCAAUAAAUGUUUAAUCUCUGGCUUAUACUAAGAUCAUGUAUUCAUAAGCGUUGUAUAUCAUAUUUUUAUUAUCUUUAUAAGCAGAUGCCAGACAAUGUGGAACAAAUGCAAACAUCAAAAGUACUAUAUGCAUAUCUAGAAACGACGCAUUUUGUUGCUUGUUUCUUGACAAGUGCACAUUGUUCCAGCAUAAACAUUAUACAACCAAGUGACCAAGAGGAUCAUGGAAAGGAAAUUAUGGAGCAAAAAUCAUAUAACCGUCCACCAUACCUCAUUG
Non-coding RNA from Lolium perenne, 1749 nucleotides. Lineage: Eukaryota; Viridiplantae; Streptophyta; Magnoliopsida; Poales; Poaceae. The record is from RefSeq and is a predicted model, not a curated record.